GCAGCAGCUGAUAAGACAUUUUUUAUUGCCGUGCUUGUAUGUUGCAACUUCCAAUUCAAUAAAUAAUUUACAAUUCCCAUUUUCUGCUUUAUGUUUGUUGUUGCUGUUGGUUGUUGUUGAGCAAGAUAAAUAAAAUGUGUAUAAUGGGGAAUAUAGCAACAAUGAUGCAUAUAACUUUUCUUUGCGCAGAUGUAUCAAAAGUGCAACCAAGCCAUAUGAAGACCCAUUCACAAUAACGAAAUUUUAGUUUGGUGUUUGUUGUUCACAUUAUUAAAAUAACGAAUAGAACCAAUUACUAAAUCAUAACGAAUAAACAAGGCAAGUGAAUG
Episyrphus balteatus (marmalade hoverfly) is the source of this 329-nucleotide long non-coding RNA. RefSeq lists it as uncharacterized. The transcript has 2 exons. Lineage: Eukaryota; Metazoa; Arthropoda; Insecta; Diptera; Syrphidae. The record is from RefSeq and is a predicted model, not a curated record.